AUGACGCUCAAGCUCUUAAUGGAAGUGAGCCCGCAGGAGCUGCUGGAGUCCCUCGCCGAGCUCCAGAACCACGUGCUCGGCUACGUCAAGUCUACGUCGCUCAAGUGCGCCGUGGACCUCGGCAUCCCGGCCACCAUCCAUAAGCGCGGCGGCACCGCCACCCUGGCCGACAUCGCGGCCGACGCCAAGGUGCACCCGGCCAAGCUCGCCGACCUCCGCCGCAUGAUGGCGCUGCUCGGCGCCUCGGGCAUCUUCACCACCACCGCCGCCGGCACCGGGGACGACGACGGUGCUGCCGACGACACGGCCGCCGUGCAGUACGGGCUGACCACCACGGGCCGCUUCCUCGUCGGCUGGCGCAACCUGUCCCCCGUGGCGCCCUUCUUCGUCAACCCUCUCAUCGUCUCCUCCUUCUUCGACCUGCCUGACUGGCUCAGGAGCGAGCCGGCGCCGGCCGGCGCUGCCUCCCUGUUCGAGCAGGCGCAUGGCUGCUCCAGGCAGGAGAUGGUGGGCAAGGACGCCGGGUUCGGCAGCGUCCUGAGAGACGCCAUGACCGCCGACAGCGAGCUCUUCCUGGAGGUCAUUAUUGUUGACAAGGGCCGCAUCUUCCGCGGCGUGAGCUCCCUCGUCGACGUCGGCGCCGGCAACGGCGCCGGCACGCGGGUGGUGGCCAAGGCGUUCCCGCGCAUCAAGUGCACCGUGCUGGACCUUCCUCAAUCCGUCGGCCAGGCAGCCGCCGCCGGCGACGGCAACCUGAGUUUCGUCGCAGGUGACAUGUUUGAAUCCAUUCCGCCGGCGGAUGCUGUCCUGCUCAAGAAUGUUUUGCAUGACUGGGGCCACGACGACUGCGUCAAGAUACUUCAGCGUUGCAAGGAAGCCAUCCCCGCUAGGGGCGCCGGAGGGAAGGUGAUAAUCAUAGAUAUGGUAAGAGGGUCUCUGCUCGGCGAUAAGAAGAUCGGCGAGAUGGAAGCCAUGCAGGACAUGUUCGCGAUGUGCACCAACGGGGUGGAACGGGACGAGAGCGAGUGGAAGAGGAUCUUUUCCGAUGCUGGAUUCAGCGACGAUUACAAGAUCAUGCCGGUGUUGGGUCCCUUAUCAGUGAUGGAGAUCUACCCAUGA
This 1119-nucleotide ribosomal RNA is filed under the name Triticum aestivum (bread wheat). RNAcentral's name for it is "partial small subunit ribosomal RNA". Lineage: Eukaryota; Viridiplantae; Streptophyta; Magnoliopsida; Poales; Poaceae. The record is from RNAcentral.